Molecule: ribosomal RNA, 666 nt
Filed under: uncultured Lachnospiraceae bacterium
Lineage: Bacteria; Bacillati; Bacillota; Clostridia; Lachnospirales; Lachnospiraceae
Description: bacterial SSU rRNA
Rfam family: Bacterial small subunit ribosomal RNA
Source: RNAcentral
GAACGGGAAACAUUUCAUUGAGGCUUUGGCGGAUUUGGUCUGUUUCUAGUGGCGGACGGGUGAGUAACGCGUGGGUAACCUGCCUUAUACUGGGGGAUAACAGCCAGAAAUGACUGCUAAUACCGCAUAAGCGCACAGAACCGCAUGGUUCGGUGUGAAAAACUCCGGUGGUAUAAGAUGGACCCGCGUUGGAUUAGCUAGUUGGCAGGGCAGCGGCCUACCAAGGCGACGAUCCAUAGCCGGCCUGAGAGGGUGAACGGCCACAUUGGGACUGAGACACGGCCCAGACUCCUACGGGAGGCAGCAGUGGGGAAUAUUGCACAAUGGGGGAAACCCUGAUGCAGCGACGCCGCGUGAAGGAAGAAGUAUCUCGGUAUGUAAACUUCUAUCAGCAGGGAAGAUAAUGACGGUACCUGACUAAGAAGCCCCGGCUAACUACGUGCCAGCAGCCGCGGUAAUACGUAGGGGGCAAGCGUUAUCCGGAUUUACUGGGUGUAAAGGGAGCGUAGACGGCGCAGCAAGUCUGAUGUGAAAGGCAGGGGCUUAACCCCUGGACUGCAUUGGAAACUGCUGUGCUUGAGUGCCGGAGGGGUAAGCGGAAUUCCUAGUGUAGCGGUGAAAUGCGUAGAUAUUAGGAGGAACACCAGUGGCGAAGGCGGCUUACUG